This 77-nucleotide transfer RNA is filed under the name Citrobacter freundii. RNAcentral describes it as "tRNA-Asp". It matches the Rfam family "tRNA". Rfam says of the family: Transfer RNA (tRNA) molecules are approximately 80 nucleotides in length. RNAcentral also lists the same sequence under 3 other names. Lineage: Bacteria; Pseudomonadati; Pseudomonadota; Gammaproteobacteria; Enterobacterales; Enterobacteriaceae. The record is from RNAcentral.
GCGGUAGUAGUUCAGUUGGUCAGAAUACUCCCCUGUCACGGGAAUGGUCGUGGGUUCGAGUCCCAUCUAUCGCGCCA